Molecule: small nuclear RNA, 107 nt
Organism: Pan troglodytes (chimpanzee)
Lineage: Eukaryota; Metazoa; Chordata; Mammalia; Primates; Hominidae
Source: Ensembl
GUGCUCCCUUUGGCAGCACAUAUACUAAAAUUGGAGCGAUACAGAGAAAAUUAGCAUGGCCUCUGAGCAAGAAUGACACACAAAUUCAUGAAGCGUUCCAUAUAUAA